This 253-nucleotide ribosomal RNA is filed under the name Hoylesella timonensis 4401737 = DSM 22865 = JCM 15640. RNAcentral describes it as "Prevotella timonensis 4401737 = DSM 22865 = JCM 15640 partial 16S ribosomal RNA". It matches the Rfam family "Bacterial small subunit ribosomal RNA", at positions 524 to 776 of the family's 1533-position model. RNAcentral also lists the same sequence under 1 other name. The record is from RNAcentral. Lineage: Bacteria; Pseudomonadati; Bacteroidota; Bacteroidia; Bacteroidales; Prevotellaceae.
UACGGAAGGUCCGGGCGUUAUCCGGAUUUAUUGGGUUUAAAGGGAGCGUAGGCUGUCUAUUAAGCGUGUUGUGAAAUUUACCGGCUCAACCGGUGGCUUGCAGCGCGAACUGGUCGACUUGAGUAUGCAGGAAGUAGGCGGAAUUCAUGGUGUAGCGGUGAAAUGCUUAGAUAUCAUGACGAACUCCGAUUGCGCAGGCAGCUUACUGUAGCAUAACUGACGCUGAUGCUCGAAAGUGCGGGUAUCAAACAGG